Non-coding RNA from Sus scrofa (pig), 9735 nucleotides. Lineage: Eukaryota; Metazoa; Chordata; Mammalia; Artiodactyla; Suidae. The record is from RefSeq and is a predicted model, not a curated record.
UUUAGGAGAUGCUGUCCUUUUUGUCCUGCCUUGCUCCUGGGAUGCUGACCGCCGGCCUGUCAGCUUUCGGAGAAACAGGAAACGCUCGCAGGCUGGUCCACCCUUGGCACUCUUGGUUAUUUCCAGGUCCAGAAAGCAAUGUAAAACUCAUCCUGUUACGGCCUCACAUACAGUAUAUUGCAGCCAACAGGAAUUCAGUCAACUUUAGGACAUCCCAGCUGUACAUGUUACAUCAAGUCACCAGCUCACUGAUGCUAACCACGGCAUAAUUUGGUCUGGAGGAGACCGGAAGAAUUGAGAGAGUUCAAGACUUGUCCGCUUAACCAUUUGAGAGCAAACCUGAUGUUAGGAUCGUGAUUUUGCAAGACUGAUAUUAGAAUUCUGCCUCCAGGCCAGUGCUGAAGUGAGCAUCACUUACUGGCUCUGGUCAUAUUCCUGCACGAUUCAUGGGUUUCCCAGCGGGCUGGGAGGAAGAAGAGUUUUCUCUCUCCUUUGCUGGUAGCUUCCUCUCAAGAAUCCUCCCCUUGGACUGGAUCAGUUCGCUGGAGCCUCCCUCCUGGUGGCAGGAGUCUUUUUGCACCAAAGCCUGGUGAGUUUCCUGUGCAUUUACAGCAACUCUAUCAGUUACUUUGCAAACACUCUUAUGAGGUACCUUUCCAACUUUCCCGAUACAGAAAUUUUCUGAAAUAGAAGAACUGGUGGGAAAUGGCUUCUCAGAGUAAAAUGUGACAGCCAGGGUGGCUUGAGGUUAACACACAGCAGCAGAAGACAAUGGCAAUGGUUGAGAAUCUUCAAAUAUCUUCAGCAAAUGAGGAGGCUCACCCUGAACAGUUUGGUGAGAAAGAGCAUCCGAGGCAAAAGGGGUAGAAUUUGAGUCCAGCACGGCCACCUUUCUUGGUAGCAUCACCUCAGACAAGUUACUACCAUGCUCUGAACCUCAGUUUCCUCAUCUGUGAAAUAGGGAUCAUAAUUCUGUGCAUGCCCCCCCAUAGUGAUCUCAUACCUAAAAUACCUGACAUUUAGCCACUGUUUGAGAAAUGAAUGAUAUCUGUUAUUCUUAUUCACCAUUAACUGGAUUACAUGGGUACUUUGCAGUGGGAAUUGUUAUUGUAUCUAAGGCUUGUCAAUUACAGGUAAUAUGUAAAGCUUUUUUUUUUUUUUUUUUUUUUUUUUUGCUUUUUAGGGCCAUAUCCUUGGCAUAUGGAGGUUCCCAUGCUAGGGACUGAAUCAGAGCUGCAGCUGCUGGCCUAUGCCACAGCCAUAACAAUGCAGGAUCCGAGCCAUGUCUGCGACCUACACCAUAGCUCAAGGCAAUGCCAGAUCCUUAACCCACUGAGCAAGGCCAGGGCUUGAAAGUAAAACCUCAUGGUUACUAGUCGGAUUCGUUUCUGCUGCACCACAACAGGAACUCCUAAAACUUGUUUUUUGAUCCUCCUCCACUUCCUCUGUGCUCCCCUUGUACAGUUUCCUCUGUAAACACCCUGUUAGCCCACCGCCAGCCCCCACCUGUCAUUGCUCAUGGAUUCGUGUCUUGGAAUCUUUUAAUUGAUCAAAGUGCGCCUGUCAUGUGUCCUCAUAUUCCUCAAGACCUUAAUCUAGGCCUAAUGACUAAUCGGAUUAAGGGCAAAAUUAUCCCCUCAUGCCCCCUCAUUUACUGUCUACAUUAACAUGACUUUAUUCUUCCACUGUUCAUUGCAGUCUCACUGUAUUCUUCCAGGACAUCCUUGGCCAGGCAAAUAACUUGGUUGCUCAUUACAGGAAUUUCCUGAAAGACCCAUUAACUCUUUACUAGGAAGCAUCAACAGAUAAUUCAUGCUUGAGGUAUGUCAAAUCCCUCGCGUCAAAAUUCUCACCUUGCUGUUUGCAACCCCAAACUGCUGUGUGAUGAAAUUGCCCCAAGCCCAAUCAAGCCCCUGUAUUCAAAGACCCGCUGUGAACGAACCUUGAAGUUCUUGUUGAGAUUCGAUCUUGCCAUGCCUCGUUCUGGGUGCUGUGGGUGCUACGAGCAAAGGGCCUAGUGCAAAGAUUCCUUGGGGACCAUUUCAGACCUGGGAAGGAUGUCCUACAUCCCAGACAGACUCUUCUGUGGUGAAUCUCCUGGUGGUAGAUUCCUAGUUCCCACCUCAAAGAGGUGAAAGCUUCUUAUUCCUUUCUACUUGUAAAAUACAUGGUAUUUGCAUAUCUAUGGCUUAGCCGUCCCUUCAAACUAGGGGUUUAUUCUGUGUUUGUGGAAGAGAACAACUGAAUUGAGUGCAAAUACGCAGAAAGGUUUUUGAAGUCCAGGCUGCCCACUUGGCUGAACCACCAGGCAAGGUUCUGCCGGGGAAUUGCCUCCCAAGGAUGGGGUGGGAAGGCAUUCAAAGGAGAACUUUAAAAACCAACUUGAAACUGAAUCAACACUAGAACAUUUCACCUGAAAGAAGCUCAUUCAUUCAUCCUUAAAAGUUGUAUUUGCUUGCUUUUUUUGGCUUCCCAGGAGAUGAAUAUUAAAAUACUGCAAAGUUUUAAAAAGUCUGGCCAAAACGUUUCAUGUGGUGACUUUGGGUAGACCUCGCCUCAAUCGGAAGCAAACAUAGACCACACAAAUGGAAACUCCUGGAAGGAGAGCCAGGCCUCACUUCCUUUUAUUUAGAACCAAAUGAAACUUGACACUAAACAUCCAGAGGAAAUGAAUUAGGAUUUGAGUCCAGAUCUGCCUGACUCCCAAGCUAUUGUUUGGUUUACUGAGGUUUCCUAAGGUCUUACAUCUUUUUUCCGGAGGUUCCCAGGCUAGGAGUCCAAUCCAAGCUACAGUUGCUGGCCACGGCCACAGCCACAGCAACUUGGGAUCUAAGCUGUGUCUGCAACCUACACCACAGCUCACAGCAACACCAGAUCCUUAACCCACUGAGCAAGGCCAGGGAUCGAACCCGCAUCCUCAUGGAUCCUAGUCAGGUUCGUUAACUGCUGAACCACGGAGGGAGCUCCAAGUUCUCAUAUCUUGCAUGCUCUGCAUUAUCAUGUUUCUACGAGAUCAUCUUCCAUUAACGCAGGAUGUCAGAAAUUGAAAACCAUCCUUUAGUAAUAUGUAUCCAAUUUUGGGAGGAUAUCAGUGACAAAUAUGUGAGAAACAGAUUCAGAAUUGAUGACCUGAAGUCACAUUUGUGAGAAUCACCCUGCAAGCUGGAAACUGCUUCAUAUCACAGGCUGGGCACUGGGACCCAGAGCCCAACCAACCCUGGACCUGCCAUUUAUUGGGUGUGUGACCUCGGCUGAGUUUCUUAACUUGGCUGUGCCUCAGCUUCUGUACAAAACACAUGAAAAUAAUAAUAGUACCUACCUCACAGGGUGGUUUGAGGAUCCCAGGAGUUAAUAUUUGUACAUCACUUAGAAUAUUAUCUGGCACGUAGUAAGCACUAUAUGUUUAAUACAUAAAAAGUAUAAGUUUAUUAUUUUAUCCCAUGUUAUAUAGCAUCAUACAUCAGUUAAAAAUAUCUCAAAUAAAAUAUUGUACAAAAUGAAAAUAUGGCAACUUAAAAGCUUUUCAAAAAUUUACCUUUAAACUGCAGAGUGUUUUCCAUGUUGGCUAUUCUCUGGAAAUUUCUAAAAUUAGGAAACACGAAAUGCUGGCAGCAUUUAAGGGGAAGUUAUUCUUUCUUUUCUUUUCUUCCUUUCUUUUUUUUUUUUUUUUUUUUUUUUUUUGUCUUUUUGUCUUUUUAGGGCCACACCCGGGGCAUAUGGAGGUUCCCAGGCUAGGGGUCUAAUCAGAGCUGUAGCUGCCGGCCUACACUACAGCCACAGCAAUGCCAGAUCCGAGCUGCAUCUGCAACCUAUACCACAGCUCAAUGCCAGAUCCUUAACCCACUUAACGAGGCCAGGGAUCGAACCCACAACCUCAUGGUUCCUAGUUGGAUUCAUUUCUGUUGCGCCACUACGGGAACUCCAUAAGGGAAAGUUAUGCUUUAUUUAAGGUUUUCCCUGAUGCAUUUUGGUCAGUGCUUGUUAAGGCUUCUCAUAUUCUCUUUUCAUUUUUUUCCCUAUUUUUUGUCUUGUUUUGAUUUUUUUUAAGGCUUUAUAGUUUUUCUCUUUUUUCCAUAUUACAAACUAUUAAGUAGAUUUUCCUGUGCUAUACAGUAGGUUUUUGUUAAUAACAUAUACAGUAGUGUGUAUAUGUUAUUCCCAUCCUUCCCAUUCCUCUCUCCCCCUGAAUGGUUUCACUUAUGAUAACUCUAAGAUUGGUUUUGAAAUCUGUGUUUGUUUCUGUUUUAUAAAUGUUAUAUAAUUUUAUUUAAUUCUACAUAUAAGUAAUAUCAUAUGAUAUUUUUCUUUGAUUUACUUCACUCAGUUAUGAUAAUAUCUAGGUCCAUCCAUGUUACUGCAAAUGGCAUUAUUUCAUCCUUUUUUAUGGCUGACUGAUAUUCCAUUGUAUGUAUGUACCACACCUUCUUUAUCCAUUUCUCUGUUGAUGGACAUUUAGGUUGUUUCUAUGUCUUGGCUAGUGUGAAUAGUGCUGCAGUGAACAUUGGAGUGCAUAUAUCUUUUUGAAUUAUGGUUUUCUCCCUAUAUAUGUCCAGGAGUGGGAUUGUUGGAUCACAUGUAAUUCUAUUUUUAGUUUUUUAAGGGACCUCCAUACUGUUCUCUAUAGUGGUUGUACCAAUUUACAUUCCCACCAACAGUAUAAGAGGGUUCCUUUUUCUCCACACCCUGUCCAGCAUUUAUGGUUUGAGGACUUUUUGAUGAUGGCCAUUCUAACUGGGUGUGAGUGAUACCUGAUUUGUAUUUCUCUAUUAAUUAGUGAUGUUGAGUAUCUUCUCAUGUGUUUUUUGGCCAACUAUGUGUCUUCUUUGGAGAAAUAUCUGUUUAGAUUUUAUGCCCGGUUUUUGAUUGGGUUAUGAGGUUUUUUUUUUUUUUUGAUAUUUGUAUAUUUUGGAGAUUAAUCCCUUGUCAGUUGCUCUGUUUGCAAAGAUUUUUCUCCAAUUCUGUAGGUUGUCUUUUCAUUUUUUAUUGUUUCUUUUACUGUGCAAAAGCUUUUACUUAGGUCUUGUUGAUUUAUUUUUGUUCUUACUGAUAUUAUUCUGGGAGGUGGAUCAAACAAAAUAUUGCUGUGAUUUAUGUCAAAGAGUGUUCUGCCUAUGUUUUCCUCUGGGAGUUUUAUAGUUUCUGGCCUUACAUUUAAGUCCUUAAUCCAUUUUGAAUAUGACAUUUGAGAAGGUUCUAAUUUCAUUCUAUUAUAUAUAAAUGUCCAGUUUCCCAGCACCACUUUAUUGAAGAGACAGUCUUCCUCCACUGUUCUUGCCUCCUUUGUCAUAGACUAGUUGACCAUAGGUGCAUGGGUUUAUUUCUGGGAUUGCUGUCCUGUUCCACUGAUCUAUAUUUCUAUUUUUAUGCCAGGGCCUUACUGUUUUGAUGACUGUAGCUUUGUAGUACAGACUGAAGUCGGGAGUCUGAUUUCUCCAGGUCAAUUUUUCUUUUUUAAUAUUGCCUUGGAUAUUUGGGGUCUUUUGUGUUUCUAUACAAAUUUUAAAAUAUUUUGUUCUGUGAAGAAUGUCGUUGAUAACUUCAUAGGGAUUUCUUUUUUUUUGGCCACGCCCAUAGCAUGCAGAAGCUCCCAGGCCAGGGAUCAAGCCUGUGCCACAGCCCAGCGACCCUAGGCUCUGCAGUGACAAUGCUGGAUCCUUAACAUGCCACGCCACAAGGGAACUCCAUAUAAGCUCAUUUUAAAACCAGAUUUUCUUCCUAAUUAGCAAAUUAUCCUUGAAAUGCAUUUCCUUUAUGAUUUUUGUCCUCUCCUUGGACCUCAGGUGUUUACGCUUUUGGCCUUGCAUUUUGUCAGCUGCUUUUCUUAUUACACUUACCUAGUUUAAAGGCAGGUGUUUGGCCUUAGCCCCACUUUUAAUGCUAGUCCUCAGGAUCCAGUCCUGCUUUUCUGAAAGACUCACGUUGCCUGAUGCUGGAUCAUCCUCAGGAGUGACUGCAGAAGUGCUUUGCCAGAUUUGCAGUGGUACUGAGUGGGAUGGCAGGGAGCUUUGGCCUUAAAUUAACCAACAUUACACUUUCUUCAAAAUUAUUCCAAAUAACAGAGUAAUAGUCUUCAGAGUGUGGUCUCCGGGCCAGGAGCAUAGGCUUUGUUUGGGAACUUGUUAGAGAGGCAGGUGUCAGGCCAGCCCUGGACCAACUAAAUCAGAGACUGUUUCAACCAGAUCUCCAGGCCACGUGAGUGCACAGUCAAGUGCACAUUGCGUUUGGAAAGCUCUGGACUAAGUCAUGCACAUCAUCUGUCAUUAAUUCAAAGACUAGUGACCCAUUGCUUUCAGGCUCAGCUCUGGAAUCUGGCACACAAGGGUGCAAAAGUGAACAGUGUAGCCUGUUGUGGAUGGCCCAGCCCAGAAGUUAGUUUUAUUCUGAGCACAGCUUUGUUUCCUGCCACUUGUGGAAAGGAGGUCACUGGUCACCAGACACGGGAUAAGAGAAUAGAUAGUACUGGCCUGGGGGGGCAAAGAGCUUACUAGGGCAUAAUGGCUUGAUUCCUCUCCUCUGUGUUUUCUGAGUGGGGGAACUCUGACCUGUGCUCACAUCAUGUCUUGGGUUUCACCUUACUACCCUGUCUUCUAUGUGCUCAUCUUCCACUCCACCUGAGCUGGGGCAGAGCCGUGACUUCUUCCUCUUUGUAUCUCUAGCACCUAGCACAGGGCUUGAAGAAAAAAAGGUGCUUCACGAUGCCAUUGAAUGAAUGAGAGAGAGUCGAUUCUCCAGGAGGCAAACACACAGGAUAUUUAGUUGCUGUGAUGCUCUCUGUAAGAUGGGGAAGUGACCCGAGAUAUUCCUGCCCAGGUCCCAGAGGUUGGGGAAUGUUUUGGAGAUACGUUUUUGACUGGAGUUCCACUCUGACCUUUCUUGCCGAAUGAAACUUCAGCUACACCUAGAGCGAGCUGAUGAAAAUCGGGAGGAAAGGGGGCGAAGGAAGAACCCAACUCACUGACUCAGUUCUAACUCUCACCACUUAAUCACUUCCAGUAGCAACUGAAGUUUCAAUGCAAAUACCCCCAAGCAGCCGGCUUUGGUAUUUCCAGGCCCCACGUGAAGGUCUUCAAAUUGCUCAGACUGGAGUUUGUUCCCUCUUUAAAGAAAAACCCUUCUUUCUGGAAGUGACUUGGUACAUGUACCUAUAAAGGAAAUUCAUCCUGAGGCUGAGGCAGGCAGAAGGAAUCAAGGAACUCAAUUCAAGGAAGUUGCCGACGUGACUUUUAUUUCCCUCUUCUGUCACUUCCCUCUUUCCCAAGGCUUCCUCACUUCUACCUGUCCUGACAGGACCUUUAGAGUCUUGGAGGAAAUCAAAGUGUCUUAAAGGCUCCUGGUCUGCUGAACUGUUUUCUUUGAAAAUUUUGGUUCUUGUUUGCUUAGAAAUUCGAGGAAGACUUUCUCUAGACUAGAAUGUUUGGGUUCUAAAGUUUUUCUUUAGGGAACUCCAGGCUUCAGCCACCCAAACCAACGGCACAAAGGAAAACGAGUAGGUGUAAAAGAAAAAGAAAAAAAAAGAGAUGAAGAAUUGGAAGGAAAUCCAGAGGGUAAGAAACUGGGGCCAGCUACCUCCUGAUGUAUGCAGACAAUGGAAUCCACUCUGAAAGCUGAAUGAAGUCUGGAGAGCUGGGAGGCUGGGCCCAAGUGGGUCAGAAAAGGCCCCUCUGCUCCGUGAGCAUGGAAGGUGAUGCCUCUUCACAAAAGCAAGACCCCAAGAAGGCUGCACAAGAGUGGUCCACAUCCCUUUGUCCUGUUUCUCCAGCCCACCAGUACACAACUGGAGUGAUUUGUACAUUCGACACUAUUCCAGAGGGGAAAAGAGGCACAUCUGACUGAGACGUACUAAGGGCAUCAUUCCCAAAUGGGGAGCCAAUUUCCAACCUUUGUCCUUUGGGAUCAGAGAUGGAUCUUUCUCCCUCAAGCCCUCUUAUCUCUUCUCUGUGUUGGCAGAGGCACUGAACCUAACUGGCAUCCACGUGUUAGAUCAUGUAACACCUGUGUUCAGGUGCCCCGGGAUGGACAAAGAAUUUCAGUGAGGGGCCUGGAGCACCGGAGCGAAGACAGGACAGUAGAGGGGCCACCACAGUGCUCAGCUCUAGAUGACUGUGGCUGCUGGAGGGGGACAGAGCUGGCUUUGACCAGACAGUUCAGUUGAUAGUGAUACUCUUUGCAUAUGAAAGAUCCAUGAGGUGUUGGCUCCUUUUUUUGGUCUGAGAGGAAGGUGAACAUCUUAUUCUCUUUGACAUUUUUUUGUAGGUCAGGAAAGGAAUAAUAUAAUAGUAAUGUUUUCCUAGGUGUGAGCCGGAGAACAUGAGGUGUAUUGAUACACCAUUCUGUACUUUAUAGAGCGCCAAAAACUUUCCUUUACUCCUCUAUCUAGGCAAGAGAUGUAUUUUACAGAUAAAAACUUUGAAAGCAUCUACACCCAAACUUCACAAGUUUCCGAUUUCUUGUGAAAUCACUUGCUUCUCUAGAAUCAUUCAGUAGCAUUAGAUAGGGCUGAUGAAAAGGCUCUUCCAGUCUUUAUAAUCAAUUUGGUACUGCCACUAGGAACAAAACAGGCUGCUUUGCAGGUGGAUGGCAUUUCAAAAAUGUUAGCCACCUGAAGGCAAGCGUGUAUUCGCUAAGCUAACCACCUGCCUGUCCUGCAAGGUGAUCCUGACCAGGACAUUCUUUCUGGUCUUGUUCCUUCCCGUGUGAAAUACAGGAUGUUGUGCAACAGUUUGCAUUUUUCUUUAGCACUCUGUGCCUGGCACUCUGCUGUGCUUGUUACGUGGAUUGUCUUGUACAAUUUACCAAUGGCCGAGUUUUAUCAUCAGGGAAACAAAGGUGCAGAGGUGGGCACCUGCUAACACAUUAGUGGGGGGUCCUGUUCCCCAGCCCAUGUCCUCAGGAACUUCUAGUAUCAAAAUAUGAGUACAACUAACUCCUCUUGGCUAAAGCUUCCUAAAGCAGAAGUAAGGUCCUGGCUGAAUUUAAACCAGGAAGAUGAAAGCAAGCGACAAUGAAGAGCCUUCCAGCUGUAGGCCAACCAACUUGCUGCCACCCCAAGCCUGAAACUGGUGUUUCCUAUCACCUUGCAACAGCCUCCCCUCCCACGCACUGGGCCUGGGGCUGCCUGCAAAGCCUGGCCGGGAGGCUGGUGUAGACGGUGUGAGAAGCUGUUCUCUGAAAGAGUUCCGUGGUUGGCUGUGGUAAAUGCUCCCACACAAUUCUCCACCUCCACCUCCACUUGGGGUUCGAAUGACUCUCAGUGUAGGAGUCCCACAGCUGCCCGAAGAAGACAGUGAUCAGAAUUCUGUUUGUAAAAAUCCAUUUAAUAAAUAUACAUCUUAGAAGUACCAAAAUAAUUACCAACAAAAUACAUUAUGUACAGUAUUUACAGCAGGGUAACACAAACCUUGACAGGUCGUGACUUUUAACCCCACCCCACUGACAGGUUUAACAACACACCUGAUUCUAACAUUUCCCAGAUACACCUGGGCUCCACCACUGACUCCAUGGUGGUUCAACCAAGAAGCGCAAUAAAUAAAAGAGUCCCAUCAAAUUAGGGAUAACCUUUCCCCCAGGCCCCACCAAGGUGCCGUUUAAAAGAGGUUCUCUCUGCAUUCCGAUGAUCCUCCUUGGCGCCUUUCCAAAGUUCACAAGAAUAACAAAAUCGGGGCUAAUCCACCAGAGCAAAAUGUUUCAGGCCAGGCAGUGUGCGGUGUGGUUAUAAGUAUACCCUUUUUUCUUUUU